This 613-nucleotide unclassified non-coding RNA is filed under the name Aspergillus terreus. RNAcentral's name for it is "sequence contains 18S rRNA gene, ITS1, 5.8S rRNA gene, ITS2, 28S rRNA gene". The stretch from base 231 to 384 matches the Rfam family "5.8S ribosomal RNA". RNAcentral also lists the same sequence under 1 other name. The record is from RNAcentral. Lineage: Eukaryota; Fungi; Ascomycota; Eurotiomycetes; Eurotiales; Aspergillaceae.
UCGUAACAAGGUUUCCGUAGGUGAACCUGCGGAAGGAUCAUUACCGAGUGCGGGUCUUUAUGGCCCAACCUCCCACCCGUGACUAUUGUACCUUGUUGCUUCGGCGGGCCCGCCAGCGUUGCUGGCCGCCGGGGGGCGACUCGCCCCCGGGCCCGUGCCCGCCGGAGACCCCAACAUGAACCCUGUUCUGAAAGCUUGCAGUCUGAGUGUGAUUCUUUGCAAUCAGUUAAAACUUUCAACAAUGGAUCUCUUGGUUCCGGCAUCGAUGAAGAACGCAGCGAAAUGCGAUAACUAAUGUGAAUUGCAGAAUUCAGUGAAUCAUCGAGUCUUUGAACGCACAUUGCGCCCCCUGGUAUUCCGGGGGGCAUGCCUGUCCGAGCGUCAUUGCUGCCCUCAAGCCCGGCUUGUGUGUUGGGCCCUCGUCCCCCGGCUCCCGGGGGACGGGCCCGAAAGGCAGCGGCGGCACCGCGUCCGGUCCUCGAGCGUAUGGGGCUUCGUCUUCCGCUCCGUAGGCCCGGCCGGCGCCCGCCGACGCAUUUAUUUGCAACUUGUUUUUUUCCAGGUUGACCUCGGAUCAGGUAGGGAUACCCGCUGAACUUAAGCAUAUCAAUAA